CAGUGAAGCAGGCAGCACUGAUUUCAGAAGUUGGAAAGCCAGGAGCUAUGAGUAAAUUAGAAAUAGGAAUUGACCUGACUGCUGUGAGAAGACUUGGAAGGUGUGCUGCAGUACCAAAGUAGAACUUCAUACAACAGCCCCUCCUCUUGAUCUGCACAGAUAACUCUCUCAUGCCAUGAAUUCUACUUUGGAUACUGGCUAGGUUUCCAAGAGUACUGUAGAAACAAAGCAAGUUAGCAAUUUACUCCAGCUUGUUUAUGUGGAUUAAUAACUCCAUAUCAAGAUAGUCUCUCGUAUGAAACUGAACUGAUUUGGGGGUCUUAGAAUCAU
This is a long non-coding RNA of Melopsittacus undulatus (budgerigar), 330 nucleotides long. RefSeq lists it as uncharacterized. The transcript has 4 exons. NCBI's taxonomy places the organism in Eukaryota, Metazoa, Chordata, Aves, Psittaciformes, Psittaculidae. The record is from RefSeq and is a predicted model, not a curated record.